CCUACGGGUGGCAGCAGUGAGGAAUAUUGGUCAAUGGACGAGAGUCUGAACCAGCCAAGUAGCGUGAAGGAUGACUGCCCUAUGGGUUGUAAACUUCUUUUAUAAAGGAAUAAAACGAGGCACGUGUGCCUUUUUGCGUGUACUUUAUGAAUAAGGAUCGGCUAACUCCGUGCCAGCAGCCGCGGUAAUAUGGAGGAUCCGAGCGUUAUCCGGAUUUAUUGGGUUUAAAGGGUGCGUAGAUGGGUUGUUAAGUCAGUUGUGAAAUUUUGGGGCUUAACCGUAAAAUUGCCAUUGAUACUGGCAGUCUUGAGUACAGUUGAGGUAGGCGGAAUGCGUGGUGUAGCGGUGAAAUGCUUAGAUAUCACGCAGAACCCCGAUUGCGAAGGCAGCUUACUAAACUGUGACUGACAUUGAUGCUCGAAAGUGUGGGUAUCAAACAGGAUUAGAUACCCCAGUAGUC
RNAcentral lists this ribosomal RNA (460 nucleotides) under uncultured bacterium. Its description in RNAcentral is "partial 16S ribosomal RNA". It matches the Rfam family "Bacterial small subunit ribosomal RNA", at positions 338 to 795 of the family's 1533-position model. The record is from RNAcentral.